Molecule: ribosomal RNA, 406 nt
Filed under: uncultured bacterium
Lineage: Bacteria
Description: partial 16S ribosomal RNA
Rfam family: Bacterial small subunit ribosomal RNA
Source: RNAcentral
AUUGAACGCUGGCGGCAGGCCUAACACAUGCAAGUCGAGCGAGCGGCGGACGGGGGAGUAAGGUCUGGGAAACUGCCGGAUGGAGGGGGAUAACUACUGGAAACGGUAGCUAAUACCGCAUACAAGCAGAUGUGGCAAGAUGGGGUUAGCUAGGAGGUGGGGUAACGGCUCACCUAGGCGACGAUCCCUAGCUGGUCUGAGAGGAUGACCAGCCACACUGGGACUGAGACACGGCCCAGACUCCUACGGGAGGCAGCAGUGGGGAAUAUUGCACAAUGGGCGCAAGCCUGAUGCAGCAAUGCCGCGUGUGUGAAGAAGGCCUUCGGGUUGUAAAGCACUUUCAGCGGGGAGGCGUUACCCACAGAAGAAGCACCGGCUAACUCCGUGCCAGCCGCCGCGGUAAUUC